AGUAAAGUCAGCUAAAAAAGCUUUUGGGCCCAUACCCCAAANAUGUUGGUUAGACCCCUUCNUUUGCUA
RNAcentral lists this transfer RNA (69 nucleotides) under Chaenogobius annularis (forktongue goby). Its description in RNAcentral is "tRNA-Met". Lineage: Eukaryota; Metazoa; Chordata; Actinopteri; Gobiiformes; Gobiidae. The record is from RNAcentral.